RNAcentral lists this unclassified non-coding RNA (305 nucleotides) under plant metagenome. Its description in RNAcentral is "partial contains 5.8S ribosomal RNA, internal transcribed spacer 2, and large subunit ribosomal RNA". The stretch from base 1 to 105 matches the Rfam family "5.8S ribosomal RNA", at positions 50 to 154 of the family's 154-position model. The record is from RNAcentral.
GAAAUGCGAUAAGUAAUGUGAAUUGCAGAAUUCAGUGAAUCAUCGAAUCUUUGAACGCACAUUGCGCCCGCCAGUAUUCUGGCGGGCAUGCCUGUUCGAGCGUCAUUUCAACCAUCAAGCCCCCGGCUUGUGUUGGGGACCUGCGGCUGCCCGCAGGCCCUGAAAAACAGUUGCGGGCUCGCUGUCACACCGAGCGUAGUAGCAUACAUUCUCGCUCAGGGCGUGCUGCGGGUUCCGGCCGUUAAACGACCUUCAUAACCCAAGGUUGACCUCGGAUCAGGUAGGAAGACCCGCUGAACUUAAGC